Non-coding RNA from Camellia sinensis, 521 nucleotides. The record is from RefSeq and is a predicted model, not a curated record. Lineage: Eukaryota; Viridiplantae; Streptophyta; Magnoliopsida; Ericales; Theaceae.
UUACGCUAUGUAAAUGGCAUAAAGUAUUGCCUCUGAAAAGAAAUAAAUAGAAUAGUCUACGUGCUCUUGAUAGUGAUUGGCCUUCUUUUGUUCAUACCCUUUCUUUUGUUCACACCAUUUCUUCUGUUUGACGUCAAUUGCAUGCGAUGGUACAACAACACAGCUGGAUUUCAACCCUUAUUUCAAUUAUUUUGAAAAACUAUGAAGCAGAAGCGGAAGCGGAAGCGGACAAAUAUAACUAAUCUGAAUGUUGAUGUACUGAAAUGUAUCAUGAGUUUUGUAGCUAAAUCUUUGAAUGGGGCUGGCAGUUUUGCAAGGGCAAUAUCGGUGGGAUGAAGAGUCAGUGUGAUGAGAAAAUGUCUGAUUUUGUCUUUUGUAAGAUAAGAACAGUCUCUACAAAAAUAGUAUGUUUAUUCAUAUACUUCUGGCGAUUUUUGAAUUAAUUUGUGUUUUUAUUUUUCAAGUCAGAAAUUUCCUGGAGAGAUGCAAAAUAUGGUCAAAGAAUUCAAGAACUUAGUUUU